RNAcentral lists this ribosomal RNA (229 nucleotides) under uncultured bacterium. Its description in RNAcentral is "partial 16S ribosomal RNA". It matches the Rfam family "Bacterial small subunit ribosomal RNA", at positions 568 to 796 of the family's 1533-position model. The record is from RNAcentral.
CGCGUAGGUGGCUUGAAAGGUCAGCGGUGAAACCCCACGGCUCAACCGUGGAACUGCCGCUGAAACCAUCUUGCUUGAGGACGGGAGGGGAGAGUGGAACUCUUGGUGUAGCGGUGAAAUGCGUAGAUAUCAAGAGGAACGCCGGUGGCGAAAGCGACUCUCUGGACCGUUCCUGACACUGAGGUGCGAAAGCUAGGGGAGCAAACAGGAUUAGAUACCCUGGUAGUCC